AUGCCUAAGAUAAAGAUAGGCCGUGUCGAAUAUACUGAAGGGUGGGUGCUUAUUGAACCCACAAUCUGUGAGUUGGAUGCCAAAAUUAGAGAAGCUGAAAAUGAUACACGUGACAGGAAGAGAAAGUGCGAAGCACUCUACCCAAUUUUCCGCAUUUCAAGAAGCCAUUACAUUUAUGAUCUUUUCUAUAGAAGAAGGAAUGAUAUAUCAAAGAGUGUGGUUUUCUGUAGCUCAGGGUUAUGCAGACUGUAA
RNAcentral lists this ribosomal RNA (252 nucleotides) under Triticum aestivum (bread wheat). Its description in RNAcentral is "partial small subunit ribosomal RNA". Lineage: Eukaryota; Viridiplantae; Streptophyta; Magnoliopsida; Poales; Poaceae. The record is from RNAcentral.